UGAGGAAUAUUGCUCAAUGGGCGAAAGCCUGAAGCAGCAACGCCGCGUGCGCGAUGAAGGCCUUCGGGUCGUAAAGCGCUUUUGAGAGGGACGAGAUAGGACGGUACCUCUGGAAUAAGUCACGGCUAACUACGUGCCAGCAGCCGCGGUAAAAACGUAGGUGGCAAGCGUUAUCCGGAUUCACUGGGCGUAAAGCGCGUGCAGGUGGCUUCGUAAGUUGGACGUUAAAUCUCCCGGCCUAACCGGGAAGUGUCGUUCAAUACUGCGGAGCUCGAGGGCAGAAGAGGGGGUGGAAUUGCUGGUGUAGUGGUGAAAUGCGUAGAUAUCAGCAGGAACACCUGUGGCGAAAGCGGCCCCCUGGUCUGCUCCUGGCACUCAGACGCGAAAGCUAGGGGAGUGAACGGGAUUAGAAACCCCGGUAAUCCUAGCCGUAAACGAUGGAUGCUAGGUGUGGGUGGUAUUGACCCCAUCCGUGCCGAAGCCAACGCGUUAAGCAUCCCGCCG
Molecule: ribosomal RNA, 504 nt
Filed under: uncultured Chloroflexota bacterium
Lineage: Bacteria; Bacillati; Chloroflexota
Description: bacterial SSU rRNA
Rfam family: Bacterial small subunit ribosomal RNA
Source: RNAcentral